RNAcentral lists this ribosomal RNA (265 nucleotides) under Asterionellopsis glacialis. RNAcentral's name for it is "partial Bacterial large subunit ribosomal RNA". It matches the Rfam family "Bacterial large subunit ribosomal RNA", at positions 2663 to 2925 of the family's 2925-position model. Lineage: Eukaryota; Bacillariophyta; Plagiogrammaphyceae; Rhaphoneidales; Asterionellopsidaceae. The record is from RNAcentral.
UGAACAAGGCUGUCCCUAGUACGAGAGGACCGGGAUGGACGUACCUCUGGUAUGCCAGUUGUCACGCCAGUGGCAUGGCUGGUUAGCUACGUGCGGGAGGGAUAACCGCUGAAAGCAUCUAAGCGGGAAGCCGGCUUCGAGAUGAGAUUUCCUUGCCCCUUUGAGGGUGUGAGGCCCCCAGCUAGAACACUGGGUUGAUAGGCUGGAUGUGGAAGCGAGGACUGAAGACUCGUGAAGCUGACCAGUACUAAUAGGCCGAUGACUU